Molecule: ribosomal RNA, 447 nt
Filed under: uncultured bacterium
Lineage: Bacteria
Description: bacterial SSU rRNA
Rfam family: Bacterial small subunit ribosomal RNA
Source: RNAcentral
UUGCCAGACUCCUACGGGAGGCAGCAGUGGGGAAUAUUGCACAAUGGGGGAAACCCUGAUGCAGCGACGCCGCGUGAGUGAGGAAGUAUUUCGGUAUGUAAAGCUCUAUCAGCAGGGAAGAAAAUGACGGUACCUGACUAAGAAGCCCCGGCUAACUACGUGCCAGCAGCCGCGGUAAUACGUAGGGGGCAAGCGUUAUCCGGAUUUACUGGGCGUAAAGGGAGCGUAGACGGAUAAGCAAGUCUGAUGUGAAAAUCCGGGGCCCAACCCCGGAAUUGCAUUGGAAACUGCAUAUCUAGAGUGUCGGAGAGGCAAGUGGAAUUCCUGGUGUAGCGGUGAAAUGCGUAGAUAUUAGGAGGAACACCAGUGGCGAAGGCGGCCUGCUGGGCUUUUACUGACGCUGAGGCUCAAAAGUGUGGGGAGCAAACAGGAUUAGAUACCCCCGUA